RNAcentral lists this ribosomal RNA (253 nucleotides) under uncultured bacterium. Its description in RNAcentral is "partial 16S ribosomal RNA". It matches the Rfam family "Bacterial small subunit ribosomal RNA", at positions 524 to 776 of the family's 1533-position model. The record is from RNAcentral.
UACGGGGGGAGCAAGCGUUGUUCGGAUUUACUGGGCGUAAAGGGCGCGUAGGCGGCGCAACAAGUCACUUGUGAAAUCUCCGGGCUUAACCCGGAGCGGCCAAGUGAUACUGUCGUGCUAGAGUGCGGAAGGGGCUACUGGAAUUCUCGGUGUAGCGGUGAAAUGCGUAGAUAUCGAGAGGAACACCUGCGGCGAAGGCGGGUAGCUGGGCCGACACUGACGCUGAGGAGCGAAAGCGUGGGGAGCAAACAGG